Molecule: ribosomal RNA, 440 nt
Filed under: uncultured bacterium
Lineage: Bacteria
Description: partial 16S ribosomal RNA
Rfam family: Bacterial small subunit ribosomal RNA
Source: RNAcentral
CCUACGGGGGGCAGCAGUGAGGGAUAUUGGUCAAUGGGGGAAACCCUGAACCAGCAACGCCGCGUGAGGGAAGACGGUUUUCGGAUUGUAAACCUCUGUCCUCUGGGGAGAUAAGGACGGUAGCAGAGGAGGAAGCUCCGGCUAACUACGUGCCAGCAGCCGCGGUAAUACGUAGGGAGCAAGCGUUGUCCGGAUUUACGGGGUGUAAAGGGUGCGUAGGCGGCCCGGGAAGUCAGAAGUGAAAUCCAUGGGCUUAACCCGUGAACUGCUGUUGAAACUGGAGGUCUUGAGUGAAGUAGAGGUAGGCGGAAUUCCCGGUGUAGCGGUGAAAUGCGUAGAGAUCGCGAAGAACACCAGUGGCGAAGGCAGCCUGCUGGGCUUUAACUGACGCUGAAGCACGAAAGCGUGGGUAGCAAACAGGAUUAGAUACCCUGGUAGUC